Molecule: ribosomal RNA, 979 nt
Filed under: Ophiocordyceps tricentri
Lineage: Eukaryota; Fungi; Ascomycota; Sordariomycetes; Hypocreales; Ophiocordycipitaceae
Description: eukaryotic LSU rRNA
Rfam family: Eukaryotic large subunit ribosomal RNA
Source: RNAcentral
GUUGACCUCGGAUCAGGUAGGAAUACCCGCUGAACUUAAGCAUAUCAAUAAGCGGAGGAAAAGAAACCAACAGGGAUUGCCCUAGUAACGGCGAGUGAAGCGGCAACAGCUCAAAUUUGAAAUCUGGCUUCUAAACAAAGUCCGAGUUGUAAUUUGCAGAGGAUGCUUUUGGUACGGCACCGAACAAGUUCCCUGGAACGGGACGCCACAGAGGGUAAGAGCCCCGUCUGGUCGGAAGCCUAGCCUCUAUAAAGCUCCUUCGACGAGUCGAGUAGUUUGGGAAUGCUGCUCAAAUUGGGAGGUAUAUGUCUUCUAAAGCUAAAUACCGGCUAGAGACCGAUAGCGCACAAGUAGAGUGAUCGAAAGAUGAAAAGCACUUUGAAAAGAGGGUUAAAUAGUACGUGAAAUUGCUAAAAGGGAAGCGCUUACAACUAGACGUGGGGAGUGUUCAAUCACCUAGUGUUCUUCACUGGGGCACUUGGGCGUUUUCCAGGCCAGCAUCGGUUUGCUACGGGGGAUAAAGACGCUAGGAAUGUAGCCCCCUUUGGGGGGUGUUAUAGCCUAGUGUGUAAUGCCCUGUAGCAGACCGAGGUCUGCGCAUUCUUGCAAGGAUGCUGGCGUAAUAGUUGUUAGUGACCCGUCUUGAAACACGGACCAAGGAGUCGUCCUCGUAUGCGAGUGUUUGGGUGUAAAACCCCUGCGCAAAAUGAAAGUAAACGUAGGUGAGAGCUUGUAACAGAGUGCAUCACCGACCGAUCCUGAUGUUCUCGGAUGGAUUUGAGUAAGAGCAUACGGGGCCGGACCCGAAAGAAGGUGAACUAUGCCUGCGUAGGGUGAAGCCAGAGGAAACUCUGGUGGAGGCUCGCAGCGGUUCUGACGUGCAAAUCGAUCGUCAAACGUGGGCAUGGGGGCGAAAGACUAAUCGAACCUUCUAGUAGCUGGUUUCCGCCGAAGUUUCCCUCAGGAUAGCAGUGUCGAU